RNAcentral lists this ribosomal RNA (253 nucleotides) under uncultured bacterium. Its description in RNAcentral is "partial 16S ribosomal RNA". It matches the Rfam family "Bacterial small subunit ribosomal RNA", at positions 524 to 776 of the family's 1533-position model. The record is from RNAcentral.
UACGUAGGAUGCAAGCGUUGUCCGGAAUUAUUGGGCGUAAAGAGCGCGCAGGCGGUCUAUCAAGUCAGAUGUGAAAUAUCCGGGCUUAACCCGGAGGGGUCAUUUGAAACUGGUAGACUAGAGUACAGCAGAGGAUAGCGGAAUUCCCGGUGUAGUGGUGAAAUGCGUAGAUAUCGGGAGGAACACCGGUGGCGAAGGCGGCUUUCUGGACACUUACUGACGCUGAGACGCGAAAGCGUGGGGAGCAAACAGG